UACGGAGGGUGCAAGCGUUAUCCGGAUUUACUGGGUUUAAAGGGUGCGUAGGCGGCCCUGUAAGUCAGUGCUGAAAUAUCCCAGCUUAACUGGGAGGGUGGCAUUGAUACUGCGGGGCUAGAGUACAGAUGAGGUAGGCGGAAUUGACGGUGUAGCGGUGAAAUGCUUAGAUAUCGUCAAGAACACCUAUAGCGAAGGCAGCUUACCAGGCUGUAACUGACGCUGAGGCACGAAAGCCAGGGGAGCAAACGGG
RNAcentral lists this ribosomal RNA (253 nucleotides) under uncultured bacterium. Its description in RNAcentral is "partial 16S ribosomal RNA". It matches the Rfam family "Bacterial small subunit ribosomal RNA", at positions 524 to 776 of the family's 1533-position model. The record is from RNAcentral.